This 39-nucleotide ribosomal RNA is filed under the name Eimeria maxima. RNAcentral's name for it is "partial 28S ribosomal RNA". The record is from RNAcentral. Lineage: Eukaryota; Apicomplexa; Conoidasida; Eucoccidiorida; Eimeriidae.
UAGACCUGAAAUCAGUCGAGGUUACCCGCAAGAAUUUAA